UUUGCUUUUGAGACAGGGUCCCAUUCUGUAGCCAGACUGGCCUCAAACUCACAGAGAGAGAGAGAGAUGCCUGCCUCUACCUCCCAAGCACUGACAUUAAAGCGUGUGUCACUACGCCUGGCAAUAUCUAACCUUUUAGACUCUGGCAAUUGAAACUAAGGUUUGCUAUUAAGUGCUAGUUUUCUUAUCUAACACAAAUGGAUUUCUCUUCACUCCAGGUGACUCCUUGGACUGUCACAUGACUUCCUGGAUAGAUAAAGAGGUUACCGACAGACAGAACAGGACUCUGUCCAGCUUGGCAAACCAGAAUGCUGACGGCCACAUUACCGCAGACUCAGUUAUCAGCUGCAGUGCCCUGUUUCCGUCCUUGUCCAGACUGUGCCAGGAGCUUCCUUUGCGACGUCACUACAGCAGUUCUGCUGGAUGAACUGAGGGAACAGCUUCUUGGAGGACCGGGAUAAGGCUGUGACACCGGAAAUUCGACCCUUGUAAGGGCUCAUUAACCCUGGGUGUGCAGAGGACCCGAAGGAGGAGAAACCUCCGGCAGAAUCGAACAUCUCCUGCUGUCAUGCCUAGUGCCCACAGAAGCCAGAAGAGGGUGCUGGAUCCGCUGGAACCAGAGUUUCAUAAGGUUGUGAGCAGCCAUGUGGGUGUUGGAAACUGAACCUGGGUCCUCUGAAGACAGCAAGUGCUCUUAACUACCGGGACACGACUCCAGCUGGAAGGAUUUCUUUUCAUCAAGUAGGUAAAGCACCCAAACCGUAUCACCACUGAGGAGCCCCUUUUAAUGUGGAUAAUUUGACAUGGCAUAUUUUCUUCAGUUAAAUUUUUAGACACAUUUUGUUGUUGUUGAUUUUGAAACUAGGCUUUGCUUCAGAAUAACUUUAUAUCUACCGACAAGCUGUGGAGACUGCACAGAGGGUCUCAUAUACUUUUCAUGGACCUGGCUCUUUCUGAGCCCUUGAGGUCUGAGCCCCGCCGGGUCUGCAUCUCCCUGUCUCACCAAGGAGCACGUGGUCUAAUUCCAUAAAGUGAGCUGCUCUGGGAUCGAGGGAGUGUGACAGCCAUCUUAGAGGGGACACUACCCCUGGCUAAGGUUUACAGGCUUUGUGCCUGUUUGCUGGGCAGUGGUUGUGUGUUUGGUGGACUUUGACCUCAGCCUGGUAGGAUGUUAGUGUGACCCUUGGUGGAUCCCAGAUCUGAGGAUUGCCAAAUGGUCAAAAUGAGCUGGUGUCAGCUCACAUCAAAAGAAAAAGGAGAAAAGACGUUGUAGGCAAAAUUAACAGAGAUAUUGUAAGAUUGCCUUAAAAAAAAAUGCUUCCCCAUUUAGGAGAGUGUGGCCCCAUCAUGCCACCAUUGAGGGGAAACUGCACAGGGCUGGGACAGGAAUCGGUGCCGUGGGCAACCUCCUCCUCCUGGCUGCCCACCCCAGGCCGCUGGCACACUGCUGUCUUAGCUCUAACGCUUCUCUUCCCCUCUGUCAGACUUGGAAUUUUCUACUGUAAUCAGGAUCCACCUCUAAUGAUUUUUGACCCUCUUCCUGCUAACACAUGCCUUAGCCAGAGCCAAAAAGGCCCAUACCUUUCCAGGAAAGGAAUGCCAGCUGAAUGGAUGUGUGCUGGGUGUUGUGUGGGGUGGCUGAGUUAAUGUAUUUGCUCUUCAAGAACUCCAGAGGAGGCUAUUGAGAUGCCAUUCCCAGCUUUAUCUGGCUCUUUUUUUUUUUUGUGGGCAGGGAUGGGGCAUUGGAUUGAGACAGGGUCUCCUGUUGCCCAUGGCCUCACAUUCACUAUGUACCUGAGGACCAUUUUGAACUGCCCACCCUUCUGCCUCCUCCUAAGUUCUGGGGUGACAAGUGUAUACCCCCAUACCCACCUUAUUCUGGUCUUUUAUGAGUUAUUUUGUUUUAAGCAUUUCUUACUGCCGCAUUCAUAUCAGAAAUGUGGAAAAACUGAAAAGAAAAUACCCAAGUUCCAUGAACUGGUCAAUAAUUAGAGUAGGGCUGGCGAGGUGGCUCACGGGGGAAGGAGCUUGCCAACAAGCCUGAUGAUCUGAGUGCCAUUUUUAGAACCACAUGGAAGAAGAGACCUGACUCCCACAAGUUGUCCUCUGAGCUCCACGUGUCCAUGCUGAGGCACACAUGAGUCACCCCUACACUGAAUAAAAAAAUUAAGUGCUGUGGAUAUUGCUCUGUAUAAAUAAAACGCUGAUUGGCCAGUAGCCAGGCAGGAAGUAUAGGCGGGACAAGCAGAGAAAAGAAUUCUGGGAACAGGAAGGCUGAGUUAGGAGAUGCCAGCCUGCCGUCCAGGGAGCAACAUGUAAAGGCACGCAGGUAAAGCCACGGAACACGUGGCGACAUAUAGAUUAACAGAAAUGGGCUGAGUUUAAGUGUAAGAGCUAGUCAGCGGUAGGCCUGAGCUAAUGGCCGAGCAGUUUAAUUAAUAUAAGCUUCUGGGUGAUUAUUUUAUAAGUGGUUGCGGGGCCUGUGGGGCUGGGCAGGACUGGAGAAAACUCCAGCUACAUUUAAGUGUAAUUAAAAAGAACCAAGCCAAACACACACGAAGCUCUGAGUAGUUAUUUCUCCAAAGGUCAAUAAAUAACCAAAGAGCUCAUGAAGAAUGCCUGACAUCAUCAUUACUUCAGAAAGCGCAGAUCAGAGCGACAGUGGAGAGAGGGGGGGACUUGUUGGAAACCAGGGUUCAGCGAAGCAUGCCUCUCAGAAACUGGGGACUACAGCCUGUUCAGAGAAACAAUGGCGCUUAACAGUGAGGUUUCCUCCAAGCUGCCAAAGCAGAUGGGUUUAGUGGUGCAGCUGGCAAUUUUCCAGAACAACUGAAGGCUAAUGUGUGUUUAAAAGAGUUCUGAGUGCCUGUGACUGGACUGAGAGCGGCUGUGACCAUUUUGCAAACGCGCUACGGUGGAACCGAGGGCUGGGUUGGUGUGGAGAAGGCAGAGCACGUGGCCCUCCGUGAACUCAACCCUCUCCCAUUGCGCUCUGUAGGUAAGCUUGGUAAACUCACUGGUUUCCCAGAGUGAUUUGUUGUUGGGACCUUAGACGGAGAAGUAGAGUUGUUCACAUCUCCCCCGGGGAGGAAUUUCAGCAUCACGGACUGUGCUGUGCAAAUGCCCCUCCAGCCAACAUACGAUGCAGGGAAGAAUGGACAACGCUCUCUGGAGACGGUCCUCACUCUACCAGAGCCUGACCUUGUGGUUGGGUUACAGAGCUACAUGGCCUCCUGUAGCUGGCAAGGCUGAGGAUGGGCGCUCCAAGAAGGUGGAGUCGCUCCCAACGCUGGGGCCUGGGCAUCUCGAAAAGGGCAUUUUCACUUUCAGGUUUCCAUUUAUGGUGGUUUCAAGAUGUUCAAGGAGUCUGGGAGGGUGCUCCUCCAUGCAGUUAAAGAGGUAUGACCUGUAUAGAAAAGAGUCGGGGAACAAGUUACUUCCCAAACUAAAUUUGACCUCGUGAAUCACUUUGUUAACACUCACGAUGUGCUCUGUGCCGCUUUUCUUAGCUGUGAGAGGUGUGGUGAGUGGGUGGGACCGAGAGGAGAACAUAAGUUCAUCGGAGCUGUCAAGUGAGGACAGAUAGAGGAUGCUGCGUUCAAUAGACUAUGGGGCUGGAGGUGAGCCAUAGCCCAGUGAAAAAGGGCUGGCCUAGCACGUGUGAGGCCUUCGUUGACUCUCCAGCUGCCAAAAUGCAAAAUAAAAUAGGGUCCCAGUUUCAAAAUCUUAAAGUACACAAGUUGGUGUAGAUUUUGUCAAAUUGUCCUCUAUUCAAGCAACUCAAGUCCCUACUGGCAAGAAAGAAGGAAAAACGAUCUGUUAAGUAGUGACCCUGAGGUCUUCCACAAAUACCUUUUAUAUCUGUUUAUGCAAGUAUAGACAAAGGCUUCAAAAUGGGCUUCCACGUCCUAAGUCACAGAGUGUGUUCAUGUAAGAUGGUGAGACACGUCAGCGAGUGACCUCAUAAAUAAGGCACGCGUCUGAAAUGGAAAUUAUUCAGCUCUGAAAAGUGAGCUCCUGACAUAUGCCGCAACAUGAAUGGGCUUGGAAGACACGCUACAUGAAGUGCAAAGGCUCCAGUUCUCCUCCUGUGAACUGCCCAGGAGAGUGAGCUUUCAAAGACACAGGUAGAGUGGUGACCGGGAGGGAGAGGGACGGGAAUGACGGUCCACAUUUAAAUUUGGAGAGAUGAAAGCGUGUACUCGAGGUCGAUGGUUGGGAUGAUUGCGUAACAUGAAUGCACAUAGUACCAUCAAGUGGAUGCUUACACGUUGUUCAAUGGUACAUUUAUUGUUCACAUAUUUUACCAUGAUUAAAAUGUUGUUAGGUAUUUCCCGUUUGUCCUCAACCAGGCUUCAGCAUCCUCUCACUUCUGGUGGACAGGUCUGUGUUUGGUCUCCCAUCACAUUUGGAACCCAGAGUUGGCACAAGGGUCCCUGAGGGGUGGCGCAGAGGACACUCCUAGAUGCAAGGUCAGUAGCAAAGGGGACAGUUUUAGAGGGACAGUCACCAGAAAGGACAGGCUUCCUGGGAUGUCAGAGGCCCCCAGGCUUGCUCCUUCGGUUCUCCCAGCUGGGGACAGGAAUCUAGUCCCUGGCUUCCCCUGCUUACAGGAAAAGAAAAAGCCCCAAAUUAGCAAAAAGAUUAUUGCAUGCCCUUUCAAACCCUCGUGAGUCAGUAUUAUGUAACAGCCUAGUCUGCAUUAAAGGAGAACAGAAAACAUCGAUGCUUUUCCAUGACAUUUUUAUUUCUCUCUCUGUGUGUGUCUGUCUGUGUCUGUGUGUCUGUGAUUGGAGAUUAGGGGACAAUUUGCAGGUUCUCUCCUUCCAUCAUGUGGGGUCAGUUUGGUGGAACUCAAGUUCAACAGGCACCUUUACCCACUGAACCAUCUCAUUGAACCCUGCCCCCUCAUGUUUUACCUUUUUUUAAAAAAAGAUUUAUUCACUAUAUUUUAUGUUUGAGUGUUUUGUAUGCAUGUAUGUGUGUGUAUCAUGUGUGUGCAUGGUGCCCACAGAGGUCAGAAGAGGUCGUGGGAUUCUCUGGAACAGGAGUUACAGAUACUUGUAAACAACCAUGUGGUGCUGGGAAUUGAACCUACGUCUUCCACAAGAGCAACAAGUGCUUUUAACCACUGAGCUGUUUCUCCAGCCUCUUCAUCAGAAUAUGUGUAUUUUACAUUUAUUAUUUGUUUGUUUAGUGUGUGUGUGUUUGUGUACAUGUACUCAAGCAUGUGUGCACAUGGAGGUCACAGGAUACCUUUGUGCAUUCAUUUUUUUCCUACCACAUGGAACUCAGUUGUCUGGCUUGGUCAAGAUCCUUUAACUGCUGAACCAUCUCCCUGGCACCCCUGCCUGUAUUUUAAGUAGUAUAUCUGCAUUUGACCUGUUAAUUACAGGACUCUGUAAAGCUGGAUUUAACCUGUAAAAGAAUGGGUUGGUUUGAUUGCCCUGGACAUACAUUGACCUGUUCUGUAUCUAACUCAGCCCUCUCCCAACAUUCUCCUGAGCACUCUCUAUCCUUUGGGCUAUUCUCCUCUGAGUUGGCAUUACAAUCAGACUGGGUACCAAGGGCUCACUGUGUGUAAGACAGUCAUAGUAAAUACAGAUUACAGGAGGACAUUGUUUUAGACUCGCCCCAAUGGACAAUGGACAGAAAUCAAAAUGGAGUCACUCAUGCUAAAAUUACACAUUACUAUGUUGCUGUCUCUCCUUCCAAGAAACCAUAAGACAGAUACAAAGUUCCCAAACUGUAGGAUAAUUAUGUCCUUCUGUCUGUCCUGGCUCACUAUUCUUGUCUUGUGAGGAAAGUAACUUCCGAGUGGCUAGUUAACUCCUGUUCUGGGAUUCUGCUUUUUUCACCUUAAACAGAGUGUUGCCUGAUUCUAGAAUCACAAAUUAAGGCAAAUCCCAACCUUGAAAUUAGACUUACUAUCAUUUUGUUCUUUAACAAUUCAUUUCUUAACUUUUUUUAUUAUUAUGUUUGAUAGAGAGGAUAGGCAGGAGGAACGUAAGCGUAACGCCAGGGUCUUGGCUGGGUAUGGUGGCACACAGCUUUCAUCCCCAUGCUGGGGGCCAGAGGCUGGUGGAUCUCUGUGAGUUCAAGGCUAGCCAGCUCUACAGAGUGAGACCCUGUUUCAAAACAAAAAACCAAAACCUCAGAGGCUCCCGAGCUGUGAUUUCUACCUAUCACAGUAAGGGUGCUCCCAGCUUUGUGCCUUGUCUCCAAAUGGUAAGUACCUGCUGCCAAGGCCAUAGUGACCCUCCGGGGCUUCCUUCCUAGCUCUCCACCAUCUAUAUAGAUGGUGGUACCUGUUUAGCUACCAACUUCAGGCUCUCAGCCACCUCCAAAGCCAGGACUGCAGAGGCCUGUCACGGUAUGCCUUCUUCCUUCAGGGCCUCCCUCUCACCAGGGGUCGCAGGACCUAGAAGCCACCAGUAACAUGGCAUCCUCACUAUGUGACUCAGAUGUGACUGGCAUGUCCUUAGCUUUGAGGAGUUGCUCUGUUUACUUAUUUAUUUUGUUUUUUCGAGACAGAGUUUCUCUGUGUCACCCUGGCUGCCCUGGAACUCACUCAGUAGACCAGGCUGGCCUCAAACUCAGAGAUCUGCCUGUCUCCCAAGUGCUGGGAUUAAAGGCUUGGGUGUAGUACUACUGGGGAAUAGUUCUUUUUUUUUUUUAAAUUGUGGUUUUUUAAAAAAUUUAUUUAUUUUUAUUUUAUGCACAUUGGUGUUUUGCCAUGGGUGUUGGGUUCCCUGGCACUGGAAUUACAGACAGUUGUGAGCUGCCAUGUGGGUGCUGGGAAUUGAACCCAGGUCCUCUGGAAGAGCAGCCAGUGAUCUUAACCCCUUAGCCAUCUCUCCAGCCCCUGGGGAAUUGUUCUUUAAACUUUGCAUCUUCCUGAGAGUUUCAUUCUGUGGCCAACACUCUAAUUGCCCAAAGUCAGGGCCCAGAGCAGCUGGGUAGGGCAGGACUGACAAAGAUCAGCAGAGAGGUCUCUGCAGUACUCCGCGGCUGCCACCUUCCCAGGUAUGAGACAGUUCAGGCCUUCCUCUCCUGAGAGCCUCUGACUGGGCUCACAGACCUCAGGCUAGGCGGCCUGGAGUCUCUCUUUUUUUCCCACCCCCCCCCCCCCUUCCAUGUCCCUCUGCCCCUUUUUCUAGGGCUAUCUCUAUGAAGUGAAGAUUCUUCCCAAAUUUCUGGGCAGUGCAAGUACAAGAUCUCCCAGGGACCCAGAAGGCCCGGACUCUAAACACCCUGUUUGUGUAGCCCUGGAGCUGAGUGGCUCGGCAAGGCAUUUUCCUCAAAACUAGACACUUCUGUGCCUGGUGGUAGUCAUGGGGCUGGGGGACCAUGCCAUGGGCCUGGGGGACCAUGCAGGACACUCCAUGCCAGGCAAGCUGCCUGUCCCCGCGACCCUCUUCCCGGGCUUCUCGCUCUGUGGCCAUCACUCUUGAUUUCCCAGGGCCAGCAAGCACUCAGGACAGCUGUGUGAAGCAGACACAGAGAUUGAGAGAGAAAUCCCAUCAAGCCAUCAGCUCCUGUUUUUAAAACUACAGCUUUCUUUUUUAACUGCACAUGGGAAACAACAGUAAAAAUCCAGUCAACUGGAAGGAGGGAGAGAGGGAAGAAAGAGGCUCUUGUGUCGUAUGGAUCUCGGAGAAUUUGCUCUUAAAUCUGUCUGUCUGUCUGUCUCUCCUCUUUCUCUCUCACACACGUACAUAUAUAACUUUUCUUUUCCUUUUAACAGAUCUUGCCUCAAGUUUAUUUGUAAUCAGCACAGGGCACUGAUCGUCUGCAAUGGUGUGUAGGUGUGUCACACCAGUCCAUCUGUCUUCACAUUGGCAGACAGAAACCUUUUCUAUGGGGCCGUCACAAGGGCCUGGGCACCUUUGGGAGCCUGAACUGGAGCUGAGGCCUCUGCCUUGGUUUGAGUCUUGGGUUUUGGUUGGCAGAGCCUAUGACCCUUGGCCACAUAGCUUCUAAUCUGCUUCCCAAGCUUGGGGUGAGCGAUGAAAGCAGGAUGGCUGAGCUUGCGGCUGGGGCCCUUUAGCAUCUUGGGCUUCACAAGUGCCUUGAUGGCCUCUGCACGCGCACUCAUCACCUUCACGCCGCUGGCCUGCAUCUUCUUCGGGCCUUCCCUGUUGGGCUUCUUCGCAAAGCCCAUGGUUCCUCAGGAACUUGGGGUCGACCCCCUUAAGAGAUUCUUAUCUUUGUGACCUGGGUUACUUGAGGCCAUUUUUGUAACAUUUUCGAGAUUGGUUGUGUGUGGCGUGGUUCUUGGACUUGGCACAAGGUCUAUGUAGCCCUGGCUGUCCUGGAACUCACAGAGAUCCACCUGCCUCUGCCUCCUGAGUGCUGGGAUUAAAGGCGUGCACCACUAUGCUUAGCUUUUUUAGUUUUUCAUAUUUUUAGUUCCUCUUAGACCACUCCAUAGCCUAAGAACUCCCUUUUGGAAGAGACCCGGCUUCCCAGAGGUGGGACAGGCCGCUUCCCAGGGUUUUGUGUCUUCCUUCCUGUAUUCAGCUAAGGACUUAAAGUCACACAAUGAGGGGCCUUGAGGCUGUCCCAGCAGCAGCUGCGGAACCCAGCAAGGCAGCAAUUACUCCUGCGGCUGCCACCAGCUCCGUCUCCACUCGAGACAGCAAGCUCAUCCAGGGACAGUUAAGGUUAUGUUACACUUUCUAAAUCUAAAACUUCCUAGUUCUGAGAUACAUUGAGACUUCCUUUGGUUUGACAGAAUCACUCACGUGUUCUUCUCUUCUGACUUGCUCUCCAGGUCGUACUUCUGUUCUUCUCACAAGUUAGCCCAAGAGAGCUCCCUGUCAACCCUCUGCCACCUGCCCCUGACUAUGGGAGGCUGCUUGCCUUGUCUCAGUUGGCUGGGCCUGUCACAAUCCUGCAGGCAGAGUGGCUUAACCCCAGAUGUUUCUCACGUUGAAGAUAGAUGCAAGACCCAGGUGGCAGUACAGGAGGUCACUGUUGACUCCUGGAGUUCCCUCACACAAGGGACUAAGCCUGCCAUGAGGAUGCUACCCUCGCAAGCUCAGUCACCUGGAGCUGUCCCCCAAAGGCCUGCACCAAAUACAGGGCAGAGCUUUAGCCUGAAUCGACAGGGUGCACAGCGGGUCGGCUCCCGUCAGCCUUUGGGCAGUCUCUCCGGUUCCCACUCAUGUGAUAAGUGAAAAGCAAGUGUAAAUGAAACGUUGCCCAAUUCCCUCUUAUCUUCCAGGACUGGGAGCAAGAAAAUGCUCUUAGAAUUAUUACUGUGGAUGUUAGUGAUUCUGACGGUGCUCUUUGGAGAACUCCGAGAAGAGUGGCGUGGAGUGUUCCUUUGUCUGUAAGAAAAUGUCUUCAGAAAAGCCUUCCUGGAGGAGAAGAGUUGUAAAAGGGUGGCGUCAAGUUCCCCGUGCUGGUCUAAAGAUAUCCCACACUGCUAUGUCGAAAGAUGCAUUGAAGUGCACAUGACUGUCUGCCCUCCUGUUCCUCCCAUUCAGGACUCCGAGUCCUAAGCAUGCUUUGUCACUAGCAAGGCAGAAAGUCAAACUUGGCCAGGACAUGUUUCUGGUUCCAGCUAGGAGAGAAGGUGGUGUGGAGACCAUGGGCGAGUCUGUCUUUUAGCUCUGGACUUUUUAAACUCUUUAUCUCUGUUGUUAUGAUGUUGAUGGUUCCAUUCUCUAUAUAUGACUAAUAAAUAAUUACAGCCAACAUUUAUUGGAUUCUUCAUAUGUCCCCAAACAUUUAAUCUUCAUAAAAGUCUCAUGAGGUAGAUAUUUUAUCCAUGAAACCACAAAAUAUCAAAUAAUCUAAUUUCCUUUCUGGUCUUCAGAUUCUGAGAUGUACAUUCCUAGAAGUCUUUACAGUUGUUUGGUUGAUUUUAAAACUUUAUUUUAUGUAUAUGGGUGUUUUGCUUGCCUGUAUGUCUGUACACUACAUGCAUGCCUGGUGCCUUCAAGGCCAGAGGAAGGCAUUGGACCCCUGGGAAUAAGUUACAGAUGGUUGUGAACCACCAUGUAGGAGCUGGGAACUGAACUCAGAUCCUCUG
This is a long non-coding RNA of Peromyscus californicus insignis, 10042 nucleotides long. RefSeq lists it as uncharacterized. The record is from RefSeq and is a predicted model, not a curated record. NCBI's taxonomy places the organism in Eukaryota, Metazoa, Chordata, Mammalia, Rodentia, Cricetidae. The transcript has 4 exons.